RNAcentral lists this ribosomal RNA (498 nucleotides) under uncultured bacterium. Its description in RNAcentral is "partial 16S ribosomal RNA". It matches the Rfam family "Bacterial small subunit ribosomal RNA", at positions 30 to 523 of the family's 1533-position model. The record is from RNAcentral.
AUUGAACGCUGGCGGCAUGCCUUACACAUGCAAGUCGAACGGCAGCACGGGGCAACCUGGUGGCGAGUGGCGAACGGGUGAGUAAUGCAUCGGAACGUACCUUUCAGUGGGGGAUAACGUAGCGAAAGUUACGCUAAUACCGCAUAUUCUGUGAGCAGGAAAGCAGGGGAUCGCAAGACCUUGCGCUGAUUGAGCGGCCGAUGUCAGAUUAGCUAGUUGGUGAGGUAAAGGCUCACCAAGGCGACGAUCUGUAGCGGGUCUGAGAGGAUGAUCCGCCACACUGGACGUGAGACCCGGUCCAGACUCCGACGGGAGGCAGCAGUGGGGAAUUUUGGACAAUGGGGGCAACCCUGAUCCAGCCAUGCCGCGUGAGUGAAGAAGGCCUUCGGGUUGUAAAGCUCUUUCGGCCGGGAAGAAAUCGCACGGGCUAAUACCCUGUGUGGAUGACGGUACCGGAAUAAGAAGCACCGGCUAACUACGUGCCAGCAGCCGCCGUAA